AUUGAACGCUGGCGGCAGGCCUAACACAUGCAAGUCGAGCGGAUGAAGGGAGCUUGCUCCUGGAUUCCGCUGCGGACGGGUGAGUAAUUCCUAGGAAUCUGCCUGGUAUUUGGGGCUAACGUCCGUAAACGGGCGCUAAUACCGCAUCCGUCCUGAGGGAGAACGUGGGGGUUCUUCGGACCUCACCCUAUCUGCUGUCCCUAGGUCGGAUUAGCUAGUUGGUGGGGUAAGGGCCUACCAGGGCGACGUUCCGUAACUGGUCUGAGAGGAUGAUCAGUCACACUGGAACUGAGACACGGUCCAGACUCCUACGGGAGGCAGCAGUGGGGAAUAUUGGACAAUGGGCGAAAGCCUGAUCCAGCCAUGCCGCGUGUGUGAAGAAGGUCUUCGGAUUGUAAAGCACUUUAAGUUGGGAGGAAGGGCAGUAAGUGAAUACCUUGCUGUUUUGACGUUACCAACAGAAUAAGCACCGGCUAACUUCGUG
This 484-nucleotide ribosomal RNA is filed under the name uncultured bacterium. RNAcentral describes it as "partial 16S ribosomal RNA". It matches the Rfam family "Bacterial small subunit ribosomal RNA", at positions 30 to 507 of the family's 1533-position model. The record is from RNAcentral.